UCAGUGAAAAAUUGGUUUGCUGCAGGAUACUAGCCGUUACUUCAGGGAAUUCCAGGGAGAUCCCCAAACAUGUCACAGGAUAUUUGCUCUACAGACCCAGCAUGUGUAAAUGAAAUUCCAUGUUGGGCAUGUCAGGCAGAACAGAAGACACUAGGAAAUGUCACAGCAGGUGCUGCAAACCCAGGAAAAGUAAUCAUAGUCCAGUCAGAAUGUUACUAAACAGCAGAACUGCCCAUUCUCUCAUGCUUAGUCAUGGAGAAGUGAACCCCUGACUUCAUGAGGUGACUCUACCUCUCAGUCACUCUAGGUUCUUGUCAUUCAUGGCAAAUGACCCUUUUCAAAAUGAUAGCCAGCAAGGAAGGUGAAAAGUUAGAACAGUGAACAAAUGCGGUUUGGGGUGGCGCCACCAGUGACUUCAGUGAUGCUAACCUGAGCAUCCAUGAGCUGGCAUCUCUGUUUCUUGUGUUGUGCAGUUCUUUCUGCCUAGACUAGGGAGAUGCUUUCUUCUGUGUAGUGUUGACUUAGUGCAAAGCUUCCACUUAACUGGGACAGAGUGAAGGAAAACAGCAACUACAGCAAAAAACAAAGGAACCAGCCAAAUCUCACUAGAGAAUAAAGAGACUAAAUCUCUCCGGUAAGACUGGAACACAGUUGCUAAGUUAAUACACAAGUGAAGCCUUUAGGUCUCCACAGACAUAUUACAAGUGGACAUAGUACAAUUCAGAGCACCAGCAAGAAUAGGGUACCCACCACGCCUGAACACCCAACAGGGGUGGCAGCACUGCCCUGCAUGUGUGCACUACUGUUCAUCUGUCGUCUAUGACUAUCUAGUCUUCUGAGGCAGACCCUAGAUACAGCUAGCACCAGGGUCAGUGCUGAGACACAGCAGAGUAGUUUUAGCCAAAUCCUUUUGGGCCUUACUUGGAACAGAUUUUGUCUAGACCGAUCAUAUUCAUGUGCUAUGUAGACUUGGUUUAGUCCACAGAAGUUUAAAAAAUAGUCUGAUUUUCAGGGGCUUAGAAUUUUUUUUUUAAAUAGAAGCAGUGGUGGCACACAUCUAUAAUCCCAGUACUUGGGAGGCUGAGGCAGGUGGAUCUUUGAAUCUGAGGCCAGCCAGGUCUACAGAGAGAGUUCCAGGACAGCCAGGACUAUACAGAGACCCUGUCUAGAGAAACAAACAAAUUAGAUUAGAUUUUCAGAAACAGUAUAGUGAGCAAGCAUAAGGGCCACUUGCUUAGUUUUGUUUUGUUUUAAGAGCAAAUCUGGGUACUUUAUGAAUCUAGAAGAGAGAGAAAUUAAUCUGUUAGGGAAACAUUGUGUGAGAGAUGGUGUCUGGCUCUUCAGGAAUAGAUAGGGUUUAACUCCUGGGUAUUUACCCCCAACCCCCAACCAAGUUCACGUGAUACACAGAGACACUCGCACAUCCAUGUGGGUGACAGUAGCUCAGCUGUGGCAUCAGCCUGGGUGUUCAGCAGCAGAGACCUGGGUAAGGAUGUGUGGUAUGUAUGCACAAUGGAACUUUUCCAUCUGAAAAGAACCGAGUUAUAGUGUUUGCAGGAAAAUUGUGCAAUUAGGAAUAAUCAUAUUAAGUGUCUCAGAAGAACAACUAUCAUAUGCUUUCUAUCUUUUGGUUCCUAGAAUUGUAUACAAAGUCAUAUAUACACCAUUAAAAUAGAAAUAAAAUUUUCUAGGGGAACAAAGGGACUUAUAGAUGUCCGCAUACAAUAUACACUGAAAUGGAAAACCUAAAGCAUAAAUUGUGUGGGGCAGUCAACAAGAUGACUCAGUGGGUAAAGGUGUCUGCUCCUUAUCCAUGGUCCUCGGAACACACAUGAAGGCUGGAGAGAGCCUACUCCUGUAGGUUGUCUUCUGUCUCUUAUAUGCAUGCUGUGACAUUUUCUCACACACAAGAACACACAGUAAAUGUUUUUAAAAAUACAUUUUAAAAGCUUGAUGUGGUGACACAUACCUUUAAUAUCAUCAGCCUUGGGAAGCAGAAACAGGUAGAUUCUGUGAGUUCUAUGGAACAGCCAGGGUUAUGUAGAAAGACCCUGUCUCAAAAAAAAAACAAAAUUAAUUGUAAG
Molecule: long non-coding RNA, 2084 nt
Filed under: Mus musculus (house mouse)
Lineage: Eukaryota; Metazoa; Chordata; Mammalia; Rodentia; Muridae
Description: long non-coding RNA chr2:92285855-92287939
Source: RNAcentral